Molecule: RNA transcript, 3731 nt
Organism: Nilaparvata lugens (brown planthopper)
Lineage: Eukaryota; Metazoa; Arthropoda; Insecta; Hemiptera; Delphacidae
Gene name: leucine-rich repeat flightless-interacting protein 2
Exons: 12
Source: RefSeq, a predicted model, not a curated record
CAUCACAUACCAUGUGAAUCGAAGUCAGAUUCCCCAAUAUUUUUCGUCGUUUUUCCGAGUUUUCCCGGAUUUUCGGUGCAAUUUUCACGCGAGUGUUUUGAGUUUACUUGUAAUGUAUAGGAGCCUUCACAUACGGUGCAUAAAAAAGUUUUCAAGUGAUCAAAAAGUUUGAAAAAGUUGAAGUGAAGUGAUAAAGGUGGUUUUAAAAGUGGUUUCCUUGUUAGAUUUUUUUGAAAUUUGUUUAAAUAUUUUUGGGUUGGUGUAAGGUUUAGUAGUCAUCAUCCACCCUACAUAUUAAUUAUGUUCAACACCCACAUCACCAACAAACAUAAUGGAAAACACUAACAGUAGCGCUGUAACAGCUUACAACAACAGUUUUAAUGGACAAUUAAUUCUUUCCUCCAAUAAUCAAAUCAACAUAAUCAAUAAGAACAGUGAUCUGAAAAAUGGUUAUCAAGAUGACCCCAAAAAUGUAAAUCAUGAUGUGAAUUUGUGCUGUAUAGAGGUUAAAAAUAGUGACAAUGGUGCAGAAACUUGUGAUGCCAAAGUGUUGAAUGAUACAGAUUUUAAUGCGGCAAAAGUGUUCAAUGGUGUAGAACCAAAGUAUGUGUCUAUAAUUGAUGUAAAUUCGUCUCCGGAUUUUGUGACAGUGAAUGGGGGUGUGGAUGGACCUCCAAAUAGUGUGUAUACAAAUGGGGACUGUGACAAAGAUGGUUUGGGAAAAGUGCAUGUUGCCAGUUUGAAUGGUUUUGUUGCAGAUGGGAAAACACUAGAUUCUGAAGUAAAUUUAGGCACAGAAUAUUGUUCGCAGAAUGGUGAUGUAUUGAGUUUGAAAGAAAGUCAAACCAACUUUGGUGUGCAACAGGUUUUGUGUGCAGAAAAUGGUGUACAGGCAUUUAAUGUCAAUGGAGGUCCAGUUUUGGCAGAAUCUGAAGAUGUUCUGGUGUCGAAGUGUUUGAUAGGCGCAGAAUCUUGUUUUGGUGGUUCCUUGGACAUCAAUGGUUCAUCAAGAUUGAUCUCUGAAGAGGGUCUAGGUUCCCAGCAACUGUUGAAGGUUGAAACUGUUGAUAGGAAUCAUCAGAAUUUGUGUUCAACCAAUUCAGGAACAUCUGAUGAAGAUGUUGAUGGACAUCAUCUGAUAAUUUCGGAUAAGAAUCACCAGAAAUUGUGUCAAUCCAAUUCAGGAACAUCCGAUGAAGACAUCAGUGGACAUCAUCUGUCAAUGUCAGCCAUUCAGCAGAAAUUUACCAACCAUAUGAACAGCUUAGGUUCGUCUUCUGGUUAUGAAACAGAUCCCAAUGUUUCAAUUGUGGAUGUGAGUGUAGGUCCUGAUGAUAUUAUGAAGUCUUCUGAUGCUGGGAAGGUUGGUAGCAGUGGAGACAGGGUUGGGGGUGAAGAGAUAAAGAAUGAUGGUAACCUUGGAGGGUCAAUGGUGACAGAUGCAGAAGAGGAUGAGGGUGAUGAGUCCACAUCGCAAAGCAAUGGGAGAUCUUCAAGAAGUGUUGAUCCCGAUGAUUUAACCAAGAGUAAUGGGAAUUCUGCUAAGGGUGACAAUACAGUGUGUAAAAAUAGCACAGUUUUUUCAAGUAAGGAUGAUGUUGAAGAUGAUGACGAUGAUGAAGAAGAUUCCAAUAGAAAUGAAGACUCUUUCAUGAAUGAUAAUGAUAUUGAUGAGGCCAUGGCAAAGAGUGAUGAAGAAUCUUCCAGAGAAACUAGUCUUGAUGGUGUUGCUGUCAAGAGCAAUGGACAUUCUUUGAAAGAUGAUGUGGAGGGAGAAUCUUCAAGUAAAAAGAGUUCUUCAGGAACAUCCAGAGGUGCCAGUGCAGAAAGUGGACAAAGUAUGGAUGUUGAUGAUAAUGAAGAGGCAUCAAGGAAAAAUGCUUCAAGUAGUUAUGGAAAUGAUUCUGUCGAUUGUUCUGCAGAGGGAAUUUCUGACACAAAUGACCCAAAAAUGUCUGGAAGCCCUGGGGCAGCACUUUCUGCCAAAAAUGGGACAAAACCGUCUGCAAGUCGUGGAGCAGGAAUCCUUGCCAAAAAUGACUCAGAAUCCUCUGCAACCUCUGGAGCAGAUAUUUCUGCCAAAAAUGGCGCAAAACCUUCUGCACCAUCUGGUGUAGAAGAUUCUGCCCCAAAUGGCAAACAUGCAGAACGUCAUGUUGGUGAGGAUGAUGAAGAUGAUGAUGGUUCCUGUUUGGAUGGUUAUUCUACCAACGAUGAAGAAGAUGAUGAAAUUGAUGCCAGAACAAAGGAUCUAAAACCUAAGAAGCCGCAGUUGCAGAGGACACGCAGUAAUGCUGGAUCAACUGACUACUGGAAUGAGGAAGGGGAAGAUGGAUGUAUUGUGGAGUUCUUGGACAAAAGCACUGAUUGUGCUGAAGCUCGUUUGGCGGCAAAACGACAGGCAAGAGCGGAAGCGCGCGAAAUUCGAAUGCGAGAGUUGGAACGUCAGCAAAGAGAAGCCGAAGAAACAGCUGAUAAAGUCUACGAUAUCUACAGCACACCAGAUGCCGUCCAACGAUCGUCGCGUGUGGCAGCCGCUAUUGCGACACCUCGCUCUCUCUCUUCCAGGGAGAACCAUCGCAGUGAGAGGGAGAGAGAGAACAACAGUUAUCAUUCGUCGCGGCGGAGCUCUGAAGAUUCUCUGGAGGAAGCCACUAGUCUCAGGGAUAUGAGGCACGAACUGAAGGAGGUGGAGGAUAAGUUUCGGAAAGCUAUGAUAGCCAAUGCGCAAUUGGACAAUGAGAAGGCGGCUGCAGCCUAUCAGGUGGAACUGCUCAAAGAUCGGCUGGAGGAGAUGGAUGAAAAUCACUCUCAACUCAACAGAGAACAUCGUGACAAGUGUAGACAAUUCGAAGCUUUAAAAAGAGCGGCUGCCAAAUUGCAGGAAGAUUUAGAAUUCACCAGGGCACAACUAGAAGAUCGAGAUCGACUUAUCGAGGAACAAGGUCUCGUGAUAGUGGGAGGGGAGUACUCGUCGAGUGGAGAGGACGAUGAUCAUAGCGGAGGUGAUAGUGGCAGGCUGAGCAAAACACCGAAAACACCGAAACGGGCGCUAGUGUCCUCACAGGUCGCUGAGGUCCUUGAGAAGGUCGGCACAGGGUCUUUAGACGUACGACUAAAAAAAUUCGUCGAGCAACGCAAUGAACUUCUAGACGAACUGAACCGCGUCAAACUGGAGUUAGAGGAAGAGCGCACACGUAACCGAGGCGGCGCCGCUAACCGGCGGUUAGCUAACGGCCCGUUAAGCGUUGACGGCGGCUUGAGCUCGGGUUUGGACGACAUUGAGGAGGUGCAGCGAGAGGCUAACAAGCUGAUCGGCGAUUACAAGUUCCGGUUACAAAAGGCUGACCAGGAUAACAGCACACUGCAAGCUACGGUUGCCAGAUUAGAAAGCCAGGUAGUGCGAUAUAAGACGGCUGCAGAAAUAGCUGAAAAAGUGGAAGAUGAUUUAAAAGCUGAGAAACGGAAACUACAGAGAGAGUUUCUGAACUCAGAAGAAAUGUAGCUUUUCUAUCUUUUAUCGAGAGUCGCAGGCGAGAGUCGAAGAACUGGAAACUGCUCACUCGCACCUACAGAAACGAUUAGAUAAAUUGAAAAAUGCAAAAUCAGCACUUUUAAAAGAACUGUAGCAAGACUGCACCACUCAUAACAAAUGAGUGGUGAUUAUAUCUACUACGCCAGCGAACUAGUGCGUUUGGGAUACAAGAACUUCGAAUUUUAUUACUACUUAU